RNAcentral lists this ribosomal RNA (552 nucleotides) under uncultured Acidobacteriota bacterium. RNAcentral describes it as "bacterial SSU rRNA". It matches the Rfam family "Bacterial small subunit ribosomal RNA", at positions 355 to 897 of the family's 1533-position model. The record is from RNAcentral. Lineage: Bacteria; Pseudomonadati; Acidobacteriota.
UGGGGAAUUGUUCGCAAUGGGCGCAAGCCUGACGACGCAACGCCGCGUGGAGGAUGAAGAUCUUCGGGUCGUAAACUCCUUUCGAUCGAGACGAACGGCCAUCGGGAUAACACCCUGAUGGAGUGACGGUACCGAGAGAAGAAGCCCCGGCUAACUCCGUGCCAGCAGCCGCGGUAAUACGGGGGGGGCAAGCGUUGUUCGGAAUUACUGGGCGUAAAGGGCUCGUAGGCGGCCAACUAAGUCAUACGUGAAAUCCCUCGGCUUAACCGGGGAACUGCGUCUGAUACUGGAUGGCUUGAGUUCGGGAGAGGGAUGCGGAAUUCCAGGUGUAGCGGUGAAAUGCGUAGAUAUCUGGAGGAACACCGGUGGCGAAGGCGGCAUCCUGGACCGAUACUGACGCUGAGGAGCGAAAGCCAGGGGAGCAAACGGGAUUAGAUACCCCGGUAGUCCUGGCCCUAAACGAUGAAUGCUUGGUGUGGCGGGUAUCGAUCCCUGCCGUGCCGAAGCUAACGCAUUAAGCAUUCCGCCUGGGGAGUACGGUCGCAAGGCUGA